This is a non-coding RNA of Ameiurus melas (black bullhead), 73 nucleotides long. NCBI's taxonomy places the organism in Eukaryota, Metazoa, Chordata, Actinopteri, Siluriformes, Ictaluridae. The record is from the annotation of a GenBank genome assembly.
GGCACGGUGGCUCAGUGGUUAGCGUGUUUGCCUCGCACCUCCGGAGUCGGGGGUUCGAAUCCCUUCUCCUCCA